Long non-coding RNA from Ipomoea triloba (trilobed morning glory), 2027 nucleotides. RefSeq lists it as uncharacterized. The record is from RefSeq and is a predicted model, not a curated record. Lineage: Eukaryota; Viridiplantae; Streptophyta; Magnoliopsida; Solanales; Convolvulaceae. The transcript has 3 exons.
AAAUUAAAAAAGGUCAAAAUCAGGAGCUCCCUAUUGUGUCUCUCCUCUCUCCCGUUUCUUCUUCACGAAGCAGCCCCAAUCGUCUCUCUCUCGAUCGACGAAUUUCAGACCAGCGAGCUCAGCAGAUCAACGAGGCGUCCGGCGGUGGCAAAGCUCCGGCGGCGAGCCCAGGCGACGGCGGCGAGACAGACCGGCGGCUCCUCUGUCUCUCGUCUUCUUCGCGACCAACGGCAGCGGUGACCUUCCUCUCUCGUUGACGGUCGAUGGCGGCGUCUUCCCUCCUCCGGCGUGGCAGCUUGGACGACAGUGGUGGUGGCCGGAGCAGCGUUGGUCGAAACCAGAGAAGCAGCAGGACUAAUGUGGUUUAAUCUUGGAUUAGGAAGUGAAUGAAGGUUGAUUAUGGAGGAUAAAUGAGGAUGAUGAUUAGGAUGGAUGAUAUUAGUAAUUUAAUAUUAAAGCAUGCUUAUGGAUAAUGUUGAUAGUGGUUAAGUGGGUAAUUAGUGUUAAUAAUCAUGGGUUAUGGAGUAUUAAGAUCACUACUAAUAAUUGUAGAUUAUGGUUCAUUGCUAAUUAAAGGUUAGGAAUUUAUUUAUGGAUUUGUGACUAUGGUGAUUAUUGAUCAUGAUGAUUAGGGAUUGAUAUUGGUGUUAUUUUCGCAUUUGAAAUAGUAUGAGUUCAUAUUUAAAAGUUUGUAAAUGGUAAUGUAGUUUUAGGAGGUGUUGAGAAUGUAUUUUUGGAGCUGUGGCAGUAUAGAAUUUCGGGUUCCAAGAAGUCUGCAAUUUCCUUUGGUGAACAGGACUGAACAACAGUCUUAUUUACUUGUUUUCUUAUCAAGUUACCAAGAGCAGUAGCAUUGGAAUGGUUAAGGCCUUGUCUUGCAAGGGGAGUGUUUGGGGUUCGAGACUUACUAUUAGUAUCCUCAUAUGUUUUUUAAAUAUUGCUUAGAAAAUAGUUUAUUUGUCUAAAGUGAGAAUUGAACUUUAAACCUCAUACUUACUUUUAACAUAUUGAGUUCUUUCCAAUUAAGCUAAUUCCAUCCUUUAAAAGUAUCUUGGUUUAAUGAAUUAUAUUAUUAGUGAUGUGAUUAUUAGCUAUUAAUUAAUUAAUGAUGAUUAAGGCAAAUGGUGGGCUGAUUAUGGAAUAUUAAUCAAUGAUGAUGGUUAAUAUUAAUGAUUAGUUGAUGGUAUUAUGGACUAAGUAUGAAUUAAGAGCAUUAAUGAUAACUACGUUCUAAUGGGUGUGUUAUGAAGGUGAUUAGCAUGAUGGUGAUGACGGUUAGUUAAUAAUAUGUAAUUAUUGAUGAUAAUAGGAUUGAUUAUGGUAAUGAUAUAAUAGUGUGGAUGAUGGGUAAUGAUGUUGAGAAUAUUGAGUUAGUGGUGGUUGAUGGGUUUCUGAUAUUAUGAUGCUUAUAAUUAACGGUGAUGAUGAGUUGUGAUGUUGUGGUUAUGGAGACCAAAUGAUAAUGGAUGUGAUAACGGGUCCUUACAUGAAAGGAGAUGAUGUUGAAAGUAGGACAAUGGUUCAUGGAUUAAUGGAAGGAUGGUGAUGAAAGGUUUGAUGUGGGAAAAGAGAUAAUAUGGGAAUAUCUAUGAUGUUGAGAAAGUAAAAAUGUUAAUGAUAGCAUUGGUAACUGAAUAAAGAUUUGGAUUGGUUCUCAGGUUCCCCGUUGAAGUGACUAGUCUAAAGAGUUGAGCCUAGGAUCGGGUGAUUGUUUUUGAGAGGUUUGGCUUUGAGGAUUUGAGUAAGCAAUUGAUCAAGAGCGCGCUAGUAUCCAUUACGAGCUGAUGGUAGAGCAAAUGUUUUUUCGAAUGGUAGUUUAGUUUCAUUCAUUGUGUUAAGGUUUUGUAGUUGAGAAUUCCUUGUAAUUGAGUUUGGAUAGUGAUAAAGCUUUAUUGGAAUAUUGAAGUUUGUAAUAAAGGUUUAGCCUGAGCAUCUAAUCUAGGAUGAUUAGGUGUGGCGGUAACACCUCUUUGAGGAUAAUUGUAUGGUCAUUAUGGUUAACUUGGAUUGUAAAAAUUGGGGUGUUA